Molecule: transfer RNA, 67 nt
Filed under: Allobates aff. magnussoni AR-2020
Lineage: Eukaryota; Metazoa; Chordata; Amphibia; Anura; Aromobatidae
Description: tRNA-Ser
Source: RNAcentral
GAGUAUGCCAGGUCCUAUGAGAACUGCUAAUUCCUCAUCACCAUGGUUCAAAUCCAUGGCUUACUCA